UACCCUGCUGCAGAGAGUGGCAAUCAUUUAUAAUAAAAAAUGAUUGACACGUCUGCAGGUAGAGUA
Molecule: microRNA precursor, 66 nt
Filed under: Callithrix jacchus (white-tufted-ear marmoset)
Lineage: Eukaryota; Metazoa; Chordata; Mammalia; Primates; Cebidae
Source: RNAcentral